This 633-nucleotide small RNA is filed under the name uncultured fungus. Its description in RNAcentral is "eukaryotic LSU rRNA". The stretch from base 213 to 367 matches the Rfam family "5.8S ribosomal RNA". The record is from RNAcentral. Lineage: Eukaryota; Fungi.
GGAAGGAUCAUUACAGAAUUGUCAACGGGUUGUUGCUGGUCCUCGAACGGGGACAUGUGCACGCUCUGUUUACACAUCCACUCACACCUGUGCACCCUCCGUAGUUCUGUGGUCUGGGGGACCCCUGUCCUCCUGCCGUGGUUCUAUGUCUUUACACACACACUGUAAUAAAGUAUUAUGGAAUGCAUGCCGCGUCUAACGCAAUACAAUACAACUUUCAGCAACGGAUCUCUUGGCUCUCGCAUCGAUGAAGAACGCAGCGAAAUGCGAUAAGUAAUGUGAAUUGCAGAAUUCAGUGAAUCAUCGAAUCUUUGAACGCACCUUGCGCCCCUUGGCUAUUCCGAGGGGCAUGCCUGUUUGAGUAUCAUGAACACCUCAACUCUCACGGUUCGCCGUGAUGAGCUUGGACUCUGGGGGUUUUGCUGGCCUGCGGUCGGCUCCCCUCAAAUGAAUCAGCCUCCCAGUGUUUGGUGGCAUCACGGGUGUGAUAAAUAUCUACGCUCGCAGUUGUCCGCCAGGUAACCUUUGGUGAAAAAGGUUCGCUGGAGCUCACAGAUGUCUCUCCUCAGCGAGGACAGCUUUUUGAACGUUCGAUCUCAAAUCAGGUAGGACUACCCGCUGAACUUAAGCAUA